This 61-nucleotide transfer RNA is filed under the name Phloeosinus perlatus. Its description in RNAcentral is "tRNA-Tyr". Lineage: Eukaryota; Metazoa; Arthropoda; Insecta; Coleoptera; Curculionidae. The record is from RNAcentral.
GGUAAAAUGGCUGAGUUAAAGGCGGUAGAUUGUAAAUUUAUUAACGAAUUAUUUCUUUUAC